UAGGACUUUGAAGUAAAUACUAACUUUGCUCGUUUGGCGAUGGCCUUCUGGUGCGGUUUUCUAUCAUCCCCAGAUGAAAUCUCUGGAGUCCGCAAGUUAACUUUAUUUUCUACCCCAAAUGAGUCAAAGGAAGAAAAGUUAUACCGUGAGCAGCUUUCUCGACUGCAAAACUUCCACCACCUCUUUUGGCAAGACAAUAAUUAUAAGUUUUUUAAAAUCACUGCCGAGCUUCAAGAGCUCAAAAGGAAAUGGCUUUUAAGAAAUCAAACUUUUAUUAGAGCGAGCCCUACUGAAGCUAAAACAAAGCUCGAAAUUUUUCUAGAAGAAGAAGAAGUCAAGCUUUAUCGCAAAUUUAUGGUCUUGCAAAAGCAAAAGGUAAGGAACUACACGAUUCAGUGGUGG
Zophobas morio is the source of this 402-nucleotide long non-coding RNA. RefSeq lists it as uncharacterized. The transcript has 3 exons. NCBI's taxonomy places the organism in Eukaryota, Metazoa, Arthropoda, Insecta, Coleoptera, Tenebrionidae. The record is from RefSeq and is a predicted model, not a curated record.